GUCUUCCCCAAACACACAACUUUCCACUUCUGGUUACUGCCUUCAUUAAACAACUGCCCCCCUCCCUCCUCCCUCAUCUUUUCUCUCUCUCUUUCUUUCUUGUUUUUAUAUUAAUAAUCUUUUUUACUUUUCCUCUUUAUCCUUUGUAUGAUUCUCUUCAGUCUGAUUUAAAAAAGUUUCAGUUUGUUCCUUUUUUUCCUCAUUAUACAGUCUUGUUAGUCACAUCUGUGAAAAUUAAAAAAAUAUCUUAACUAAAAUUCCAUAAAAAAAAACUCUUUUUUUUUGUUUUUGAUUUUGUGGAAUCCCAAAAGGUGCCAAGCUUUUUUUUAUAAUUUUAAGUAUCUCAUAUCUUCUUCCCUUACUGUUUUAGCAAGAAAAAAUGUUACCGGCGAAGCCGACCCUGUUCUUUGAUUAGUGUGUGUGAGAUUUGUCUUUUAUCCAAAUUAAGCUUUUUUUAAAAAAGUAUAUUAUUAUAAUAUAUGCAAAUUGCCCAUACUCUCAGACAUGGGCAUACGUAUUUGGGUGGUCCCAUUCAUCGUCGUCGUCUGUGUUAGGGAGCACAAAUAAUAGAGAGUAGAGAGACGUAGCAGCAGACCAGAGAGAGAGAGAAGAGGCGGUGAUCGAGGUCUUGAUUUACAAUAACCCAUAAAGAGCUUCUCAAGAGUGUCACUAGACAAGAUCUGAUCAUGGUUUCUUGAAUCUUCUCUCUUCUUCUUCUUCUCUCUUCUUUCUUAAAGAUUUUUGUAGUCUGUGAUCAUUUAUGAGAAGAAGCAUCCAAUUAAUCCCAUCCUCUUAGCUCUCUUCACUUUUACGAUUGCUUUCGCUGUGGGACUUUAUUACUCCUUUCCGAAAGG
Molecule: non-coding RNA, 854 nt
Organism: Camelina sativa (false flax)
Lineage: Eukaryota; Viridiplantae; Streptophyta; Magnoliopsida; Brassicales; Brassicaceae
Source: RefSeq, a predicted model, not a curated record